This is a microRNA precursor of Monodelphis domestica (gray short-tailed opossum), 77 nucleotides long. The record is from Ensembl. Lineage: Eukaryota; Metazoa; Chordata; Mammalia; Didelphimorphia; Didelphidae.
UAGCGGGGGUGAUUCCAUAGAGCGCAUGUCCAUCCCCAGAGAGCCAGAGCAUAUGCUCCAUGGAAUCACCCCCACCA